Molecule: ribosomal RNA, 253 nt
Filed under: uncultured bacterium
Lineage: Bacteria
Description: partial 16S ribosomal RNA
Rfam family: Bacterial small subunit ribosomal RNA
Source: RNAcentral
UACGUAGGGGGCUAGCGUUGUCCGGAAUCAUUGGGCGUAAAGAGCGUGUAGGCGGUCCGGUAAGUCCGCUGUGAAAGUCGGGGGCUCAACCCUCGAAUGCCGGUGGAUACUGUCGGGCUAGAGUGCGGAAGAGGCGAGUGGAAUUCCUGGUGUAGCGGUGAAAUGCGCAGAUAUCAGGAGGAACACCGGUGGCGAAGGCGGCAUCCUGGACCGGUAUUGACGCUGAUGCGCGAAAGCCAGGGGAGCAAACGGG